Bos indicus x Bos taurus (hybrid cattle) is the source of this 97-nucleotide ribosomal RNA. Lineage: Eukaryota; Metazoa; Chordata; Mammalia; Artiodactyla; Bovidae. The record is from Ensembl.
UCUAUGGCCCACCUGAACACUCUCAAUCUCAUCUGAUCUCGAAUGCUAAGCAAGGUCGGGCCUAGUUAGUACUUGGAUGAGAGAAAGAGAGACAGAU